RNAcentral lists this transfer RNA (67 nucleotides) under uncultured Synechococcus sp. It matches the Rfam family "tRNA". From Rfam's summary of the family: Transfer RNA (tRNA) molecules are approximately 80 nucleotides in length. RNAcentral also lists the same sequence under 1 other name. The record is from RNAcentral. Lineage: Bacteria; Bacillati; Cyanobacteriota; Cyanophyceae; Synechococcales; Synechococcaceae.
GGUGUAGCGCAGUUUGGUAGCGCGCCUGCUUUGGGAGCAGGAUGUCGCAGGUUCGAAUCCUGUCACC